RNAcentral lists this ribosomal RNA (498 nucleotides) under uncultured bacterium. RNAcentral's name for it is "bacterial SSU rRNA". It matches the Rfam family "Bacterial small subunit ribosomal RNA", at positions 28 to 526 of the family's 1533-position model. The record is from RNAcentral.
GACGAACGCUGGCGGCGUGCUUAACACAUGCAAGUGGAGCGACGAACCAGGGCUUGCCCUGGGGCAGAGCCGCGAACGGGUGAGUAACACGUGGGUUACCUGCCUCGAUGACCGGGACAACCCGAGGAAACUCGGGCUAAUACCGGAUGUGCCCGCAAGGGGAAAGGAAGCUUCGGCCUCCGCAUCGAGAUGGGCCCGCGGCCCAUUAGCUUGUUGGUGAGGUAACGGCUCACCAAGGCUUCGAUGGGUAGCUGGUCUGAGAGGACGAUCAGCCACACUGGGACUGAGACACGGCCCAGACUCCUACGGGAGGCAGCAGUGGGGAAUCUUGCGCAAUGCGCGAAAGCGUGACGCAGCAACGCCGCGUGGGGGAAGAAGGCUUUCGGGUUGUAAACCCCUUUCAGUUGGGACGAAGCUUCGCCGGUGAACAGCCGGGCGGAGUGACGGUACCUUCACAAGAAGCACCGGCUAACUACGUGCCAGCCGCCGCCGUAACAC